RNAcentral lists this ribosomal RNA (504 nucleotides) under uncultured Desulfobulbus sp. Its description in RNAcentral is "bacterial SSU rRNA". It matches the Rfam family "Bacterial small subunit ribosomal RNA", at positions 885 to 1382 of the family's 1533-position model. The record is from RNAcentral. Lineage: Bacteria; Pseudomonadati; Thermodesulfobacteriota; Desulfobulbia; Desulfobulbales; Desulfobulbaceae.
GCCCGCUACAGAAACUCAAAGGAAGUUCGACGGGGGCCCGGCACAAGCGGUGGAGUAUGUGGUUAAUUCGAUGCAACGCGAAGAACUUACCUGGUCUUGACAUCCCGGAGACCCUUAGGAAACUAGGGGGUGCUUCCAUCUGGAAGAAUCUGGAGACAGGUGCUGCAUGGCUGUCGUCAGCUCGUGUCGUGAGAUGUUGGGUUAAGUCCCGCAACGAGCGCAACCCUUGCCUUUAGUUGCCAGCAGUUCGGCUGGGCACUCUAAAGGGACUGCCGGUGUUAAACCGGAGGAAGGUGGGGAUGACGUCAAGUCCUCAUGGCCUUUAUGACCAGGGCUACACACGUACUACAAUGGCCGAUACAAAGGGCAGCGACACUGCGAGGUGAAGCCAAUCCCGUAAAAUCGGUCUCAGUCCGGAUUGGAGUCUGCAACUCGACUCCAUGAAGUUGGAAUCGCUAGUAAUCGUGGAUCAGCAUGCCACGGUGAAUACGGUUCCCGGGCCUU